RNAcentral lists this ribosomal RNA (482 nucleotides) under uncultured bacterium. RNAcentral describes it as "bacterial SSU rRNA". It matches the Rfam family "Bacterial small subunit ribosomal RNA", at positions 31 to 507 of the family's 1533-position model. The record is from RNAcentral.
GAACGCUGGCGGCAUGCCUUACACAUGCAAGUCGAACGGCAGCAUGGAGGAGCUUGCUCCUCUGAUGGCGAGUGGCGAACGGGUGAGUAAAGCAUCGGAACGUACCGUGUAGUGGGGGAUAACGUAGCGAAAGUUACGCUAAUACCGCAUACGCCCUGAGGGGGAAAGCGGGGGAUCGAAAGACCUCGCGCGAUUAGAGCGGCCGAUGCCUGAUUAGCUUGUUGGUGGGGUAAAAGCCCACCAAGGCGACGAUCUGUAGCGGGUCUGAGAGGACGACCAGCCACACUGGGACUGAGACACGGUCCAGACUCCUACGGGAGGCAGCAGUGGGGAAUUUUGGUCAAUGGGCGCAAGCCUGAACCAGCCAUGCCGCGUGCAGGAAGACGGUCCUAUGGAUUGUAAACUGCUUUUAUACAGGAAGAAACAACUCUACGUGUAGAGUCUUGACGGUACUGUAGGAAUAAGGAUUGGCUAACUCCGUG